UGAAUCCUGCCCCUGCGCGUGAUGUGUUGAUGUUUUUAACCCAACACCUUUAAAAAUGGGAACUAGACUUUUAUCCCGAUGUUACAUCGGGAUUCAGAGUGCCCACUUUAUUUACAAGGUUAAAAAACUUUGAUAUACACGGCAGGGGUGGGGCUUUU
Molecule: non-coding RNA, 158 nt
Filed under: Candidatus Desantisbacteria bacterium CG1_02_38_46
Lineage: Bacteria; Candidatus Desantisiibacteriota
Also listed under: 2 other names
Description: 6S RNA
Rfam family: 6S / SsrS RNA
About the family: E. coli 6S RNA was the first non coding RNA to be sequenced, but its function was unknown until recently. It consists of 184 nucleotides that fold into an extended hairpin structure with a large single-stranded internal bulge.
Source: RNAcentral